RNAcentral lists this ribosomal RNA (292 nucleotides) under uncultured bacterium. Its description in RNAcentral is "partial 16S ribosomal RNA". It matches the Rfam family "Bacterial small subunit ribosomal RNA", at positions 505 to 796 of the family's 1533-position model. The record is from RNAcentral.
GUGCCAGCAGCCGCGGUAAUACGGAGGGUGCGAGCGUUAAUCGGAAUUACUGGGCGUAAAGCGCAUGCAGGCGGUUUGUUAAGUCAGAUGUGAAAGCCCGGGGCUCAACCUCGGAACCGCAUUUGAAACUGGCAGGCUAGAGUCUUGUAGAGGGGGGUAGAAUUUCAGGUGUAGCGGUGAAAUGCGUAGAGAUCUGAAGGAAUACCAGUGGCGAAGGCGGCCCCCUGGACAAAGACUGACGCUCAGAUGCGAAAGCGUGGGUAGCAAACAGGAUUAGAUACCCGAGUAGUCC